GGGUUCGAUUCCGGAGAGGGAGCCCGAGAAACGGCUACCACUUCCAAGGAAGGCAGCAGGCGCGCAACUUACCCUAAUCUCGAUUCGAGGAGGUAGUGACAAGAAAUACCGAUGCGGGACCCUACGGGUGCCGCGUUCGGAAUGAGUACGAUUCGAACCACCUAACGAGGAACGAUCGGAGGGCAAGUCUGGUGCCAGCAGC
Molecule: ribosomal RNA, 202 nt
Filed under: uncultured eukaryote
Lineage: Eukaryota
Description: partial 18S ribosomal RNA
Rfam family: Eukaryotic small subunit ribosomal RNA
Source: RNAcentral